UGAUCCCACCCGCCCCUCCCCGGAGUCUCCACGCGGCCCAGUUUGGAUGCCAGAAAUAUGGAUCUCCACAUCUCCUGGAAGACUGGAGCGGUGCAUAUUCUCAUUUCAAAAAUAGCCAGAGGUGCUGCACUGAAGCCUACCACCACUAUCAACUUUUGACAUAUCAAGGUCAAUAUUCAGGGCUCAUAAUAGAAAGAAGGAAGAUUAUCUAGGAGUGAAACAUCCCCUGAACUGGAUGCUGGACCAGAGCAGAGACUGGGGAGAAGCUGGUAUAUAGUGGGAUUAGAGUGCAUUAAAGAGAAAUCGCUUUUUAUUUUACUCUCCCUUUCAAAAACA
Molecule: long non-coding RNA, 336 nt
Organism: Pantherophis guttatus
Lineage: Eukaryota; Metazoa; Chordata; Lepidosauria; Squamata; Colubridae
Source: RefSeq, a predicted model, not a curated record